Acinonyx jubatus (cheetah) is the source of this 1960-nucleotide long non-coding RNA. RefSeq lists it as uncharacterized. Lineage: Eukaryota; Metazoa; Chordata; Mammalia; Carnivora; Felidae. The record is from RefSeq and is a predicted model, not a curated record. The transcript is spliced from 3 exons.
CAAAAAUGAUGCGAUAUUAAAGGUGAUGGCUUUGACCAUUUCAGAGGUGCUCAGUUUUCCUGGGUCUCUCUGAUAUACACAUACUCCUUAACUUUUGUUUUUCUCCUGCUAAUCUGACUUAUAUCAAUUUAAUUAUUAGAUCAAAGAACCUAGAAGGGAAGAAAGGAGAAUUUUUCUGCCCCUGAAGAUGAUAACCAUGAAGGGACAAACUUCACUAGUUGGAUACUGCUCACUUCAUGCCUGCUGGCAGCUGAGAGAUUCUAUGACCACUGACAAAAGCUAGCAGAAGGCAUACCUUGGAAAGCCCACCUGAAAGACCUACAUCCUUAAAUGAAACACAACUCUUUAAAAUGACCUAUUCUCAGGUCUGAGAGACUGGCUCACUGAGAUCAUCCAAAGAACAGAAGAAUGGAAAAUUUUCUGUCCCUAUGCAGAUACACAAGUUACACAUCCCUUUUUGCUACUUAUGCAACCUAGAACUCACGGCAGAAGCGUAGCUUCUUGGAGCCAAGAGAAUAAAAAGACAUCAGCAUUAUCAGCUUAAGCUAUGUACCCUCUCUAAGCAACUUUAUUUGUAAAGAUGCUAGUAAAUAAAAAUACACAAGUUGCAAAGAAAGUCUAAACAUGUAUUCUUUUUUUUUUUUUUUCAAAGUCUAUUUAUUGUAGCAAUCCCUGCACCCAGUGUGGGACUUGAACUCACGACCUCGAGAUCAAGAGCCACAUGCUCUACUGACUGAGCCGGCUAGGCACCUGAAAAAUAUGGAAAGAAUACCACUGGGAAAAAUAGAUGUUCAAUGCCAACAAUAAGGAAAAAUUCAAAUAGAAGACAAACUACCCGUCAUAUAGUGCAAAAUAAGGGAUAAAAAAAUCAGGGUAAAAGACUGCCUUUGGGACAUACCUAUUAUAGAUAAAAGACUUAAACAUUCUAAUAUUAAACAAUUUUAUUCAUAUGGGUCUUCUCUAAAGGCCCUGCCACACAAUGCCCAGAGAUGUAAGUGCAAAUGUGCUCACUUCAUACUGUGAGUAAUGGUUUAAAAAAAAAAAAAAAAAGGAGUGACCAGAAACACUAACAUCUAACUGCUCAUUUGGGGAAAUGGAUAAAUAAAUUGAGUUAUUCAAAAAAUGGAAUACUUUACAAAACAUUAGAAUGAUGUACUAGGUCUCCAUGAAAUAGGGAAGCCGAAAGGACUCCAGUUGAGAAAAUCUUUAUUUCUGCUGUUUUUCUGCAAGGUCCCAUUUCUGGAUAAGCCAAAACACUAUAUUCCCACCUCAAGGGGAAAACAAGAAAAUUAAUAAUUCUCUGAGUUUUGUGCUACGCCCCAAACACCUGAUAACAUUUAAGAAGAGCCAGAUCCCAAACAUGUUCCAGAAUAUCAGCUCUGAACAAUCCUCUGCUGACGCUGGCAUCAACCCUCCUUACCGUCAGUGAUUUAUGCAAUAAUACCUAUUGUUCACCUGACACUCACCUUUGAUAGAUUACCCUAGAUUCCUACUCUAGAUUCCUGGAGGCACAUGGACCCUAGACCCCUUUCCAGGAUAAAUUCCUAACCGCACGUGACAGGGAAACUCACUCUCCUUUCCUUUGAGUCUCCCAGACACUCUGUCUGCUUUUCUCUGACACACUAUUCAAUAAACUGUUUUUAAUUUCUCCGGCUCAUGUUUGAUUUCUAUGCUGCAUGAAGCCAAGGACCUUACUGGCUAGUCCUACAGGACCCUCCUCCAUAUCCUUGGACCCAGCCUACCUGCAUCAUCCAUAUGUCCAAUAUGGAAAAAAUGCAAAAACACAAUACUGAGUUAAAAAAGUAAAUUGCAAGAUGUCCCCUUUAAGAUAGCAUUUAUGUUAGAUUGUUUUAAAAGGAUUCAUUUAUUUUUGAGAGCAAGUGGGGGAGGAGCAGAAAUGGUGGGAGACAGAAGAUCUGUUGAAGCAGGGCUCAAAACUCAUGAGCAGUGAGACCAUGAC